AGCAGCCGCGGUAAUUCCAGCUCCAAUAGCGUAUAUUAAAGUUGUUGCAGUUAAAAAGCUCGUAGUUGAAUUUCGGGGUCAGUAGGUUGGUCAUGCCACUGGUAUGUACUGGUCUCACUGAUUCCUCCUUCCUGAUGAGCCGUAAUGCCAUUAAUUUGGUGUUGCGAGGAAUCUGGACUGUUACUUUGAAAAAAUUAGAGUGUUUAAAGCAGGCUCACGCUUGAAUACAUUAGCAUGGAAUAAUGAAAUAGGACGUUUGAUUCUAUUUUGUUGGUUUCUAGGAUCGACGUAAUGAUUAAUAGGGAUAGUUGGGGGCAUUAGUAUUCAAUUGUCAGAGGUGAAAUUCUUGGAUUUAUUGAAGACUAACUACUGCGAAAGCAUUUGCCAAGGAUGUUUUCAUUAAUCAAGAACGAAAGUUAGGGGAUCGAAGACGAUCAGAUACCGUCGUAGUCUUAACCAUAAACUAUGCCGACUAGGGAUCGGAUGAUGUUAAUUUUUUAAUGACUCAUUCGGCGCCUUACG
Molecule: ribosomal RNA, 522 nt
Filed under: uncultured Glomus
Lineage: Eukaryota; Fungi; Glomeromycota; Glomeromycetes; Glomerales; Glomeraceae
Description: SSU rRNA
Rfam family: Eukaryotic small subunit ribosomal RNA
Source: RNAcentral